GGUGUGUGGGAAGGCAAAAAAUAUUGUUGAUCUUCAAAGAGCAUCUCCACAACCCACAGCCUUCUUCCCAAUAGUGUUAAUUCUGCAUUUUUACAGGGUAGUGUGUGUGUAGUUUUUGGCUAUUACUGGUGUAUUAUUUGGGGAGGGAGGGAUUGGGCAGGGAAGAAGGGAGAUGCAUAGGAUAUUUUCUUUAAAAUUUGGGGCCUGACUGGGUGAAACAAUGGAAAGAACAAGUAACUAAUGAUUUGGUUCUAUGUCCAGAAUAUUUUACCUUACUAAAAAAAAGUCAUUGGCACCAUAAAUGAGGACUGUGAGAGACUGUUUAAAAGCUGUGAAUGCCUGAAACCUAUAAGCCAAGGUGUUUCCUGCCUGAGUUAAUGUUGUUCCCCACAAAGGACUAAGCCAGUUCCUAAGUUACCAAAGCUGCCAUUCUGGAGAUAGAAACUGACUGAGGUAGGAAGGUCUUUUAUUGAAGAGUAUGCAUAGGCAGAUUAUUCUGUCUUAGAGGUGCUAAUUCUUGUAAUUAGACAAAAGACUGUUUCUUUUCCAAUUAUGAACUUAUAAAUAAAACCAGCUUGUCCAUCUAAGCCACUGGCUGAAGUACCAGGGGAGGGGCCAAAGGGGUACAGGAAAUGGAAGAGUAGGGAAAGAGGAGGGCCCAU
Molecule: long non-coding RNA, 662 nt
Filed under: Marmota monax (woodchuck)
Lineage: Eukaryota; Metazoa; Chordata; Mammalia; Rodentia; Sciuridae
Source: RNAcentral